GGGAGGCAGCAGUGGGGAAUAUUGCACAAUGGGGGAAACCCUGAUGCAGCAACGCCGCGUGAGUGAUGAAGGUUUUCGGAUGGUAAAGCUCUGUCUUUCGGGAAGAUAAUGACGGUACCCAAGGAGGAAGCCACGGCUAACUACGUGCCAGCAGCCC
This 157-nucleotide ribosomal RNA is filed under the name Clostridium sp. enrichment culture clone PHB5. Its description in RNAcentral is "partial 16S ribosomal RNA". It matches the Rfam family "Bacterial small subunit ribosomal RNA", at positions 343 to 517 of the family's 1533-position model. The record is from RNAcentral. Lineage: Bacteria; Bacillati; Bacillota; Clostridia; Eubacteriales; Clostridiaceae.